RNAcentral lists this ribosomal RNA (253 nucleotides) under uncultured bacterium. RNAcentral's name for it is "partial 16S ribosomal RNA". It matches the Rfam family "Bacterial small subunit ribosomal RNA", at positions 524 to 776 of the family's 1533-position model. The record is from RNAcentral.
UACGAAGGGGGCGAGCGUUGUUCGGAUUUACUGGGCGUAAAGGGCGCGCAGGCGGCGCAUUUUGUCAGGCGUGAAAGCCCCGGGCUUAACCUGGGAACUGCGUUUGAUACGGAUGGGCUAGAGUUCGGGAGAGGAGAGUGGAAUUCCCAGUGUAGAGGUGAAAUUCGUAGAUAUUGGGAAGAACACCGGUGGCGAAGGCGGCUCUCUGGGACGGUACUGACGCUGAGACGCGAAAGCGUGGGGAGCGAACAGG